Molecule: ribosomal RNA, 429 nt
Filed under: Chloroflexota bacterium
Lineage: Bacteria; Bacillati; Chloroflexota
Description: Chloroflexi bacterium partial 16S ribosomal RNA
Rfam family: Bacterial small subunit ribosomal RNA
Source: RNAcentral
UGGGGAAUAUUGCACAAUGGGCGCAAGCCUGAUGCAGCCAUGCCGCGUGUAUGAAGAAGGCCUUCGGGUUGUAAAGCACUUUCAGCGGGGAGGAAGGCGAUAAGGUUAAUAACCUUGUCGAUUGACGUUACCCGCAGAAGAAGCACCGGCUAACUCCGUGCCAGCAGCCGCGGUAAUACGGAGGGUGCAAGCGUUAAUCGGAAUUACUGGGCGUAAAGCGCACGCAGGCGGUCUGUCAAGUCGGAUGUGAAAUCCCCGGGCUUAACCCGGGAAUUGCAUCUGAUACUGGUCAGCUAGAGUCUUGUAGAGGGGGGUAGAAUUCCAUGUGUAGCGGUGAAAUGCGUAGAGAUGUGGAGGAAUACCGGUGGCGAAGGCGGCCCCCUGGACAAAGACUGACGCUCAGGUGCGAAAGCGUGGGGAGCAAACAGG